UUUGGGGGUAUAUAACCACUCUGUGCACCCCACUUCUUCGGUGCCCUUUCUUCCUUUGGGAAGAAAGGCCCCGGGCUAUGGUCCUCAGAUUUCAGCUCAGAAUAAACUCACCCAAAUUUUCAUUUACAGAUUGGUUAUGGAUUAUUUUCGUCAACAGUUCUUGGCGUAGUCGCGGCAGGAUUUCAGAGAAACCCACCGGAGGCCACCUGGAAUCUACACUGAACUGGCAUUCAGUACCAAUAAGGGCCCAUUGAGCCCCCCGGAUCACUGCAUUCUUCAGGUGACCCUGCUCACCGACCCCGCAUCAGCUACGUUGCUUCCAACAUCACGAGGGGAGAAGACCAGGACUGCAUUCUGUUGUUUAAUUUGGUUUACAAAUGGGUCUUGCUUAAAUGAUAAACAAGGAUGGUUAUCAAGCUGGAUAUGCUGUCCAGCCUCAAGAAUGCCUGCUACUUUCUGUUAACUCUGUUAAUCCAGUAAAAAGAUUUCCUUCUACAGGCUUAAGAAAUCACCACGGAAGAAGAAAAAUAAUAUAUGUAGGUUGCAACAAAAGGGGAAAAUAAUACUUUUGGCAACUUUCUCCCAGUGGCUCAUAUAGCCUCUACUACUUGUGCUAUAUGCCCAAAGUAUAAUCCAGAGAAGCCACUUCAUGAGUCACGAGGCCACUGUCCCUUCCUAAGGGACCCUUUGAGGUAUGACAAUUGGACUUUGUCCAAAUGCCACCGUCUCAAGGAGAAAUAUGUCUUGUAAUGAUCUGUAUGUUCUCACAUUGUUUUGAGGCCUUUCCUUGCAGAAGGGCAAUGGCUUUAACAGUAGGUAAAUUACUAUUAGAAUAAUUCCUGUUUGAGGAAUUCCUCCUGAGUUACACAGUGACUGGGGAACUCAAAUCUGUUUGUAAUGUUUGGCCAAUAUUGCAGCAUUUCCACUGCGCUUACCAUCCUCGAUCCUCAGGACUGGUAAAACUAAUGGCACAACUAGAACUUAAUUGGCAAGCUUUCAGAAGCAGUUACUUUCUCAUGGCCAAAAGCUCUUGUGCUAGUGCUCCUUAAUCUUAGAGCUAUACUUUUUGUAAACAUCGGCUGUCUCAUUUUGAAAUAAUAAUAAAACAGCCUAUGCAAUUAGAUGAAGAAAUAUAUGAACCAGCUUUCCUUAAGGGAUAUAUUACAUUGUUGUCACGGUCUUAUUGAGGUACUUAAAGUAAAAUGAAAGAUUGGUAGCUGAUUCUUUCACAGAGCUCCAGAACUUAAGGAUCAUGGACUAUAACCUGAAGAAUUUAUUUAUUGAAAGAGACAUCAAAUAAGACUCUAUACAGCCCAGUUGGAAAGGACCAUACCAGGAGGAGAAGAAGACGACAUCUGUUGCAGACAGCUGUCCCAAGACUCCGGACCAGGCCUGUAUUCCCAACCUUGCAAAUAAUGAGAUAAAAGCCUGGCACCAAGGGACAUGAUGGACCCAGGGCAGGCAGCAACCACCCUGGCGCCGAGGGACAAUAUUUUGAUCAUCAAUGCUUUCUAUCGAAAGAUUAGAGAUCAAAAGGGGAAAAUGACAAAUAAAAAUGGCAAGCAAUAGGAUAUAUUGGAGAAUAUGAGGAAGCCAUUUGGUAUAAACCUAAUUCGGCCUGACCUUGUCUUUCCUAAAGGGCCUGACCAAGGCUGUUGAGCAUACAUUGUAUAUCUCCUUUAGAGAUUCCCUAUGGCAAGAGCAAAAGGCCCUUGAGAUAAAGGUGCAAAUUCCCUCCCCCUCCCAACGUUGGUGUCUCCUUAAGGAUUAAGCAUCUUUCCUUAGGCUAGAAACUGAUUGCUGCGCUCACCUGUGACCGCCCAGCUUGAGACAAUAGACUUGCCUCCUGCUACGAUAGCAGACCCACUACCUGCUGUGUCCAUCAAGUGCUGUGCCGACAGGGCAAUCUUGUGACUAUUGUGGGAGGGACAUUUCAAUCAUGUGAGACACCCUGUUUGAGGGUAUAUAACCACUCUGUGCACCCCACUUCUUCGGUGCCCUUUCUUACUUUGGGAAGAAAGGCCCCGGGCUAUGGUCCUCAGAUUUCAGCUCAGAAUAAACUCACCCAAAUUUUCAUUUACAGAUUGGUUAUGGAUUAUUUUCGUCGACAGGCAUCUUUCUUCCCCAUCUCUUUUCUUUGCACGUUCCUUGUAGUUGGGGUGGGGGAGGAAGUGUGGAAUAAAAAGCACUUGGUGAGGCUACCGUGUCGAUAGGGAGGGCCACGUCUUCCUCUUGAGUGCACUACAGUCCAGGAGCUGCUCUUCAUCCUUGGAGGUUCAGAACAGCUUUGUCAGUCCACAGGGAGGAAAGCAGAAGCUCCCUGAGCCGGGUGUGAGCCUGAGUGCUAACGGCUCGACCUACGGCGAGAACUGCAGCUGGUGGGACCAGGAUGCUGGCGCUACAGUAUCAAUACCAAAACACGAAGGUGGCAGAAUUAGUCCCGGAGGGCUGCCAAACAAAGUACCACAGACCUAGGGGCUUCAAACCACGGAAGUUUACUGUCUAGGAGUGCUGGAGCCUGGAAGUCUAUAAUGGAGACACCAGCGGGGCCCUGCUCCCUCUGGACCCUGUAGAGGAGGAGCUGCCUGCCUCCUCCUGGCUUCCCGUGUCUGUCAGCAAUCCUGGGUGUUUCUGGGCUCGCAGCUGCCUCA
Molecule: long non-coding RNA, 2651 nt
Organism: Equus caballus (horse)
Lineage: Eukaryota; Metazoa; Chordata; Mammalia; Perissodactyla; Equidae
Source: Ensembl